GACGAACGCUGGCGGCGUGCCUAAUACAUGCAAGUUGAGCGCUGAAGGUUGGUACUUGUACCCACUGGAUGAGCAGCGAACGGGUGAGUAACGCGUGGGGAAUCUGCCUUUGAGCGGGGGACAACAUUUGGAAACGAAUGCUAAUACCGCAUAAAAACUUUAAACACAAGUUUUAAGUUUGAAAGAUGCAAUUGCAUCGCUCAAAGAUGAUCCCGCGUUGUAUUAGCUAGUUGGUGAGGUAAAGGCUCACCAAGGCGAUGAUACAUAGCCGACCUGAGAGGGUGAUCGGCCACAUUGGGACUGAGACACGGCCCAAACUCCUACGGGAGGCAGCAGUAGGGAAUCUUCGGCAAUGGACGAAAGUCUGACCGAGCAACGCCGCGUGAGUGAAGAAGGUUUUCGGAUCGUAAAACUCUGUUGGUAGAGAAGAACGUUGGUGAGAGUGGAAAGCUCAUCAAGUGACGGUAACUACCCAGAAAGGGACGGCUAACUACGUG
This 497-nucleotide ribosomal RNA is filed under the name uncultured bacterium. RNAcentral's name for it is "partial 16S ribosomal RNA". It matches the Rfam family "Bacterial small subunit ribosomal RNA", at positions 28 to 507 of the family's 1533-position model. The record is from RNAcentral.